CUCAAAGAUUAAGCCAUGCAAGUGGUUAUUUAACCCGACAGUUUAAAUAAGUGUCAUACGAUACGUUAUUACAACGCACUACCGAUUCCAUUCUCAAUUGUCUCUUAAGAGACAAAAGAACAACAUCACUUAUGCAACUGCAGACAGCUGCUUAAUACAGUCACACUUGUCUUGACUUGGCGCUAUUACCACACGAUUUCAAGCUUGUUUAUACACUGAGCCUUAUGGCUCUUCUUAAACAACGCUCUGACUAACCCUAUCCUUAUGGAUAACUCAGGGAAAGUUUGGCUAAUACAUACGAGAUUAUACAAUACACACACUUUGUUUGGGAUGUAUUUCCCUUUCAUUUUGUACUAAUCUACACUUCUCUGCACUCAAUGGUUGAGCUAUGGUGUCAAUUCUUGACAUCAGUCACUAGUUCAAACGCAACAUGAGAGACAUUGAGCACGCUUCGUACUAGCUUCUUAUUUUUAAUAAGAGCUUUUACAUUAAACGCUGAGCAGACUUUACGAAGAUUUCUUUGUGAAGCAUGUCAUACAAGCAUCUACAGCAUCAAGUCACAGGGUUGGCAAGUGUAUUUUCGAACCUUCAAAGCAGUCACGCAUACGGAAGAGUAGUUUCUGAUCCCAUAGAAGGAGCACCGUACAAUGAGAGACCGCUCUUAGUUCUAAGGAACGCAGCAGGCGCGUAAAUUGCCCAAUGACAGUACCCUACGAUCUCUUAACUUUGUUAACAAUUCGAUACAUAUUGAAUCAUUGCAAUUGAAUACGCAACACACACACGAGAAUGGUAUCUGUGUUAUUGUAACGUAUUUAGACAUUUAAAACCUGUCUUUAUACUAAUAUCCUUGUCUUACCUGUUCUCUUUAUAAUUAUUAACGUAUUCAGUUCAUCUUGUCUAAGAUUUCUAAUACGUUGAGGCAGUGACAAGCUGUAACGGUUGAGUAUUUUAAAUGACGAGUGUCUGGCAUUGCCGCUCUUUCGGGAGCUUGGCAAGUUGCCGACGCUUUGUGUGCUCAAUUGGAAUGCGGUGAGUUUAAGCAACUCAGAACCUUUUAAUGGUGCUUAUUAAUACAUUCUCUAUUGACGUGUCUGAAUUUCAAGUGGAGGGCAAGUCUGGUGCCAGCAGCCGCGGUAAUACCAGCUCCACUGGCCUAUACAAUCAUUGUUGCGGUUAAGAGGCUCGUAGUUGGAUUGAACUACUAUAUAUUCUAUAUACGUAGUAUUACAUUUCUCUCGUAAGAGAGUUAUGUUCGACAUUAGAACUCUUUUAACAAUAUAAAGCUAACAGCAUUGUUAAAUACAACACGCUCUAUCUCUAUUGACGGUAUUACUACGUAUUCUUUGGAAUACCAUUCAACACUGUGAACAAAUCAGAGUGUAUCAAACAUGUUGUUUAACUUGUGCAUUGUAUGUCUAUCAUGGGGUGUUGCACUCGUUAUUACAUUAGACACACCAUACAAUACUUUAAUGUCUAAUGUUAGCUUUCUAAUCUUUAUUAGAAAAAUGUCGAUGGGGAUAGUUGGAGCCAACAGUACUGCUGGGCGAGCGGUGAAAUGCAUUGACCCUAGCAAGACUACCAAAAGCGAAAGCAGUUGGCUAGGCUAUACUCUUUGUGAUCUAUUCACUUCUUUAUAACGCUCUUAACAUCUUCUCUUUAACAACACACACGCUUUAAAAGAGACAGAAAGUUUAAGACGUUAUUAAGAAUCUAUAGAAUAUCACUUUACAAUGAAGAACGAAGGUUGGGGGAUCAAAGAGGAUCAGAUACCCUCGUCGUCCCAUUUGUUACAUCAAACGAUGGACUCUCAAUUGCAAUUUCUGUUAUUCAGAUUGCUAAAUGCACCUCAACCUGCAAAUUAUUACUUGGCUCGAGCUCGUAUCUUUAUCUCGUAUAAAGUACGCUCGCCUAACUUUAAAUUUCGUACGGUCUCGAUGGACAUUUUGAUUUGAUAUCUUUUAUUCUGCGUGUAGGCUAUACAUGUUUAAUUGGCUUCUCUAUCUUUUAACCAAGAUUAGAACUGUUUACAUGGCGUGCACUUGAUUCUCUGAGCUUUGCGCUCAAUUCUGGUGAGAAGUAAGCACUCUGUUUAGCCUCCCGCGCUGUGUGUCUUCCUAAUACGAGGGCACUAACAGUUGUCGUGUGUGUGCUAUUAACAAUUUUUGUGUGAAGCACGCGUUAGGCACGCGCUUACUGCAGAAAUGUCUGAGACAUUCUCCUCCGGGGGUAGUAUGCACGCAAGUGUGAAACUUGAAGGAAUUGACGGAAGGGCACCACAAGAACGCGUGGAGCAUGUGGCUUAAUUUGACUCAACGCGGGAAAUCUUACCGGGUCCGGACACACUGAGGAUUGACAGGCAAUAUAUUAGCAUAAAGACUCGUCUUUAGCGCUAAUUGUUAAAUAUGCUAGUCCUUUCAUGAUUAUGUGAUAGGUGGUGCAUGGCCGUUCUUAGUUCGUGGAGUGAUCUGUCUGCUUAAUUGCGUUUCACUAAGGGCCAUAAAUUCAAGGUAUGUUAGCAAAUGCUGCUCUAUUGACCCCUAAUAGGCUUAACUGUCUUUAGCGCGUGUCUCACGAGUUCUUUAAAGCACUGCGCAUGCUGUUGGGUCCUGAAAGCAACGAACGUGACCGCAACGUCUUGUUGCCUCUCUAUAAUACCUUCUUAUUUUUAAUAAGAGUAUUUACCUGAGGCUAUUUUAAAACUAGACGGACCGCUGUUUCUUUCUUAAACCAGAGGAAGGUUGCGGCAAUAACAGGUCUGUGAUGCCCUUAGAUGUUCCGGGCUGCACACGUGCUACAAUGAUCAGUACAGUGAGCAUCUCAAUUUUAUAACACCGUAUUAAGCGCUUGGGUCGUAAUUGUUAGGCCUUUUAGGUUUUUUCAAUUGCGUUUCUCCAAUGCGCACGGUAAAGCCUGCUUCGAGAGUAAGUGGGUAAUCCAUUGGAAGUAAUGAUUUCCUUAUUUUUAUAAACAGCACACCAAUAUACGGCAUUCAUUCCCGAGACGGCUUAGUUCCGACUUUGUGCGAAUGUAAUGUAUUCUUAUCCGUAUGUGCGAUUGUCAAUUCAUGGUGGGACAGACCAUUGUUAAUUGUUGGUCUCGGUCUUAACUAGGAAUGCCUUGUACGGGUCUUUGGUUCAACAAACCACCCGGAAUACGUCCCUGCCCUUUGUACACACCGCCCGUCGCUCUUACCGAUGGACUUCUUUGUGAGUCUUGGGGACUGGGUUAAGCGAUUUCUUUUAGAAUGAGCUCUACCUAUGGAAACCAAUACGAACAAUGUGGUCUAAAGGAAAGAGAAGUCGUAACAAGGCAACAGUAGGUGAACCU
RNAcentral lists this ribosomal RNA (3327 nucleotides) under Globorotalia inflata. Its description in RNAcentral is "SSU rRNA". It matches the Rfam family "Eukaryotic small subunit ribosomal RNA". The record is from RNAcentral. Lineage: Eukaryota; Foraminifera; Rotaliida; Globorotaliidae.